RNAcentral lists this ribosomal RNA (119 nucleotides) under Lepisosteus oculatus (spotted gar). The record is from RNAcentral. Lineage: Eukaryota; Metazoa; Chordata; Actinopteri; Semionotiformes; Lepisosteidae.
CACAGCAGCCAUAUCACCCUGCAACUCACAACUGGCAACCCACUGAAGCUAAGCAGGUGUGAGCCUGGUCAGUACCUGGAUGGGAAACCUCCGGGAAAAAACUAAGGUUGCUGCUGGAA